Molecule: transfer RNA, 71 nt
Filed under: Mus musculus (house mouse)
Lineage: Eukaryota; Metazoa; Chordata; Mammalia; Rodentia; Muridae
Rfam family: tRNA
About the family: Transfer RNA (tRNA) molecules are approximately 80 nucleotides in length.
Source: Rfam by way of RNAcentral
GGAGACAUGGCUCAGCAGGUAAGAGCACUGACUUCUUUCAGAGGACCUGAGUUCAUUUCUCAGCAUCUCCA